CCCUUAGAUGUCCGGGGCCGCACGCGCGCUACACUGAAGGAAUCAGCGUGGCUUUCUCCCUGACCCGAAAGGGUUGGGAAACCCGUUGAAUCUCCUUCGUGAUAGGGAUUGGGGCUUGAAACUGUUCCCCAUGAACGAGGAAUUCCCAGUAAGCGCGAGUCAUAAGCUCGCGUUGAUUACGUCCCUGCCCUUUGUACACACCGCCCGUCGCUACUACCGAUUGAACGGUUUAGUGAGGGCCUCGGAUUGGUCUCGGCCCGCUCUUUACCGGGCGGCGCCGUUGGUCGAGAAGACGCUCGAACUUGAUCGUUUAGAGGAAGUAAAAGUCGUAACA
RNAcentral lists this ribosomal RNA (334 nucleotides) under uncultured eukaryote. RNAcentral's name for it is "partial 18S ribosomal RNA". It matches the Rfam family "Eukaryotic small subunit ribosomal RNA", at positions 1470 to 1796 of the family's 1831-position model. The record is from RNAcentral.